Molecule: ribosomal RNA, 298 nt
Filed under: bacterium Fuku2-ISO-87
Lineage: Bacteria
Description: partial 16S ribosomal RNA
Rfam family: Bacterial small subunit ribosomal RNA
Source: RNAcentral
AGACUCCUACGGGAGGCAGCAGUGGGGAAUAUUGCACAAUGGGCGCAAGCCUGAUGCAGCGACGCCGCGUGGGGGAUGACGGCCUUCGGGUUGUAAACCUCUUUCAGUAGGGACGAAGCGCAAGUGACGGUACCUACAGAAGAAGCACCGGCCAACUACGUGCCAGCAGCCGCGGUAAUACGUAGGGUGCGAGCGUUGUCCGGAAUUACUGGGCGUAAAGAGCUUGUAGGUGGUUUGUCGCNUUNUUCGUGAAAUCUCACGGCUUAACUGUGAGCGUGCGGGCGAUACGGGCAGACUA